UAUUUACUUUUCUUAGCUUACAAUCUUCAUGAAAGACUGGAAAACAAUUUUAACACCUGUAGUAAUAACCUCUGAGAACUGAGAACAGUACAAUGGCAGCAGAGAUAAAGCACUGUCCUUAUUCAGAUCCUUCUUUGGCUGCUGCUGUUUUCUGAGUUUUGCAUGAAGGCCGUGGGUGGAAAAAGAGAACUGGUGAAACACUGAUAACAGAUGGACGCAGUAUGAAGAAAUAAGAAGAACGUUUGUCUGCAGGACCACAAAAGGUAAAACCAAAACUUUUGAAUAGGAUGGAAAAAGCAAGGGAGGCCUG
Molecule: long non-coding RNA, 310 nt
Filed under: Parus major (Great Tit)
Lineage: Eukaryota; Metazoa; Chordata; Aves; Passeriformes; Paridae
Description: lncRNA (ENSPMJG00000015176.1)
Source: RNAcentral